AAUAACCUUAUUUUUUGUUUUUUCGUGUCCAAUGUUUAACCAUUCGUCUUAUUUAAAAUUUUUUGCGACUAAUAUUUUUAUUAUUAUUAGAUGAUAAAAUAUGAAUAGUACUUUAUACAUGACAAAUUUUUUCAAGUUUUUUUACAAUUUUUUUAAAUAAAACGAAUGGUCAAACGUUGGACAUGGAAAAAC
Non-coding RNA from Oryza brachyantha (malo sina), 192 nucleotides. The record is from Rfam. Lineage: Eukaryota; Viridiplantae; Streptophyta; Magnoliopsida; Poales; Poaceae.